RNAcentral lists this long non-coding RNA (1905 nucleotides) under Homo sapiens (human). Its description in RNAcentral is "HSALNT0057341". The record is from RNAcentral. Lineage: Eukaryota; Metazoa; Chordata; Mammalia; Primates; Hominidae.
AAAUACUGUAAUAUUCUCAGACUGUGGUUGACUGUGGAAAGCAAAAUGUUGGAUGAGAAUAUCACAACUGCUAUAACAGUGAUUGCCUGAUGUGGACCAAAAUUGAUGGAAGCAGAAACUCAACAAUUGGAUAGACACUGUGUUCUCCAGUUGCCAGCAACACUCAUAGACAUGUCUUAAGUUCCAGGAAGUAAAUUUUGAGCAGGGUAUUGAGAAAUAACAGUUCAUACAGAAAAGUGUGGCUACCAUGCUUAAAGACCUCAGGGAACUCUCUACCGCCUUCCACCAUAUGAGGACAUAGGAAAAAGAGAGCCAUCUAGGAACUAGGAGAUGAGCCUUCAUAAGACACUGAUUCUGCUACCAUUUUGAUCUUGGACUUCCCACCCUUCAAACUGUGAGAUACAAGUUUCUGUUGUGUAUAGGCUACUCACUGUAUGAUAUUUUCCUAUAGCAACCCUGAAAGACUAAGACAAUCAGUGUGCAUUAGAGAUAAGUUAUAUCGAUUAUGAGGACCCCAGAUAAAUUCCCUUUAGUAUUUUUUCCUAUAAGAAAUGAAAAGUAUUUGGCCCUGUAUCUUCCACUAAUCUAAAUAGGCAGUGAAGAAAAUAAUACAACAAAUAUUAUUGCAACAGAAUAACAAGCCUCUAUUUCGACGUGACAGCCUUGAAGUAGAAAGAGAAAUUAAGAGCACUCCUCCAUCUCAUUAGAAAUAGGUCUGCGUAAUAGUAGGGCCUUUAUAAAUUGAUUAAUAACAGAAGCCACAAAGAUGCUGCAUUCUUUUUGUUAGAUGAUACUAUACUAUAACACUCAAGUCAACCCUGGUAAUUUUUCCUGUAAAUUUAAGCCAAAUAAUUCAAAACAGGUGUAUAUUAUUGCUAAAUCAUUAUCCAACUACCUGUCACAGAACAGUUUUGGUGUCAUUAAAUGUCGUUUAUGAUUAUUCCAUGCGUAUUACAAAGAAAGUGCUGGAGUUUACAUUUAUCCCUGUGGAAUAUAAUUUUAUUAUUUGAUUUUAUCCUUCCUCAUGUUUGACAAUAGUUUGGGUUGUUGUAGUUUGUUUUUUGUUUGCUUGGUUUUUUUUCUUGUGUAUUUAUGCUGUCACACAAAAUGUUUGCACCUAUCCCAGCUACGUCUGUUCUGUGCCAUCUGUGCACCUUACUGUCAUAUAGCCUAUGUCAUUGUGCAAGUCAUUAAUAUAAAUAUUGAAAAAGAUUAUCCCCAGGACAUAUGGUUAGAGGCUUCCAUCAUAGCAGAAAGCAAAUCUAAACCUCUAAACUUUGGUUACAGUAGCUUAACAACGUAAGAAGCCAUGCAAUAAUAUUAGAAUUUAAUCCAAAGCUCUUUAUCUCUUUCAUAUACAUACAACCACCAUCACCACUUCCAAAAAAUAGAUAAAACUAGCUGUUGUAGUAAAAAGACUCAUAUUUUCAAGACUAUCUCAAUUGAAAAUUCAAGAGACUAUUUAAAACUCAACAUCAAUAAUUUGUCUUUGUUGUUAUAUACAAAAUCUCUGACCCUGAGGCUGCUGGGUAAGGAGAAAAUUCACUUCUGCAUGAAGGUUGGAGGAAGAGCAAUCAUUAAAAGAAUUCUUGGACAAAGAAAACUCUACUAUUAUCUCAAAAUAUUAUUUACUGUAUCUGCAUAGCCAGAGAACAGGAAAUAAAAUAGGUUGAUUAUAAAAGAUAGCACUGAUUAAUGAUCCUGGGCUGUGCCAUGAAGUCAUUUGUUUCAACGUAAGACAUUCUAGCUUUAUCAUCACCGCUAUUAGGAACUAUGUAUUUUAGGUAAAACAGAGAAUUUGCAUUAGCAGAAUACUGUUCUUUCUUCCACAUAGAGAUAUGUUUUAUAUACAUCAUAUAUAUAAUAUAAAAUAUGUAUAUAUUUAAAAGAUAUAUAUAAAAUCUU